This 327-nucleotide ribosomal RNA is filed under the name uncultured prokaryote. RNAcentral's name for it is "bacterial SSU rRNA". It matches the Rfam family "Bacterial small subunit ribosomal RNA", at positions 26 to 352 of the family's 1533-position model. The record is from RNAcentral.
AGAAUGAACGCUGGCGGCGUGCUUAACACACGCAAGUCGAACGGAUGAUUGGAGCUUGCUCCAAUCGUUAGUGGCGAACGGGUGAGUAACACGUGAGCAACCUGCCCCGAAGAUUGGGAUAACACCGGGAAACCGGUGCUAAUACUGAAUACCUUCCUCAUUUCGCAUGAUGAGAGGAAGAAAGUUUUUUCGCUUCGGGAGGGGCUCGCGGUCCAUCAGCUUGUUGGCGGGGUAACGGCCCACCAAGGCUACGACGGAUAGCUGGUCUGAGAGGAUGAUCAGCCACACUGGGACUGAGACACGGCCCAGACUCCUACGGGAGGCAGC